Molecule: ribosomal RNA, 253 nt
Filed under: uncultured bacterium
Lineage: Bacteria
Description: partial 16S ribosomal RNA
Rfam family: Bacterial small subunit ribosomal RNA
Source: RNAcentral
UACGUAGGGGGCAAGCGUUGUCCGGAAUCAUUGGGCGUAAAGCGCGUGUAGGCGGUUCGAUAAGUCUGCUGUGAAAGUCCAGGGCUCAACCCUGGGAUGCCGGUGGAUACUGUCGGGCUAGAGUACGGAAGAGGCGAGUGGAAUUCCCGGUGUAGCGGUGAAAUGCGCAGAUAUCGGGAGGAACACCAGUGGCGAAGGCGGCACUCUGGGCCGGAACUGACGCUGAGGAGCGAAAGCGUGGGGAGCGAACAGG